AUGCGAGGCGAACCGGGUGAACUGAAACAUCUCAGUAGCUCGAGGAAAAGACAUCAACCGAGAUUCCGAAAGUAGUGGCGAGCGAAAUCGGAAGAGCCUGUUAGUGAUAGCACAAGACUUAACGGAACGCCUUGGAAAGGGCGGCCAUAGCGGGUGAUAGCCCCGUACGUGAAAAGACCUGUGUGGUACUGAGCUAACGACAAGUAGGGCGGGACACGAGAAAUCCUGUCUGAAUAUGGGGGGACCAUCCUCCAAGGCUAAAUACUCAUCAUCGACCGAUAGUGAACAAGUACCGUGAGGGAAAGGCGAAAAGAACCCCGGGAGGGGAGUG
Molecule: ribosomal RNA, 331 nt
Filed under: Cryptomonas curvata
Lineage: Eukaryota; Cryptophyceae; Cryptomonadales; Cryptomonadaceae
Description: partial Bacterial large subunit ribosomal RNA
Rfam family: Bacterial large subunit ribosomal RNA
Source: RNAcentral